Molecule: ribosomal RNA, 137 nt
Filed under: uncultured eukaryote
Lineage: Eukaryota
Description: partial 18S ribosomal RNA
Rfam family: Eukaryotic small subunit ribosomal RNA
Source: RNAcentral
UCGUGGGGUGACUUGUCUGCUUAAUUGCGAUAACGAACGAGACCUUAACCUACUAAAUAGCCAGGCUAGCUUUGGCUGGUCGCCGGCUUCUUAGAGGGACUUUCGGCUCAAGCCGAAGGAAGUUUGAGGCAAUAACA